GUUCAGGAAAAUAGUAGGGAUGGGAAGUCUGACACCGAGGCACCGAAGCUCGUAUCACUUCCGCGAAGCAAUCUGCUUCGGCACAAUGUAUCGGAGCGCGUAUCAAAGUUGUAAGGUCACGUGACUGAUGACGUACGAAGCUUCGGACGUCAC
Long non-coding RNA from Alosa sapidissima (American shad), 153 nucleotides. RefSeq lists it as uncharacterized. The record is from RefSeq and is a predicted model, not a curated record. The transcript has 3 exons. Lineage: Eukaryota; Metazoa; Chordata; Actinopteri; Clupeiformes; Clupeidae.